RNAcentral lists this ribosomal RNA (253 nucleotides) under uncultured bacterium. RNAcentral describes it as "partial 16S ribosomal RNA". It matches the Rfam family "Bacterial small subunit ribosomal RNA", at positions 524 to 776 of the family's 1533-position model. The record is from RNAcentral.
UACGUAGGCAGCGAGCGUUGUUCGGAGUUACUGGGCGUAAAGGGUGUGUAGGCGGUUGUUUAAGUUUGGUGUGAAAUCUCCCGGCUCAACUGGGAGGGUGCGCCGAAUACUGAAUGACUAGAGUGCGGGAGAGGAAAGUGGAAUUCCUGGUGUAGCGGUGAAAUGCGUAGAUAUCAGGAGGAACACCGGUGGCGAAGGCGGCAUCCUGGACCAACACUGACGCUGAGGAGCGAAAGCCAGGGGAGCAAACGGG